CUACGGGUCGCUCCAGUGAGGAAUAUUGCACAAUGGGGGGAACCCUGAUGCAGCAACGCCGCGUGGAGGAUGACGCAUUUCGGUGUGUAAACUCCUUUUAUAUGUCAAGAAAAUGGCGGUAGCAUAUGAAUAAGCACCGGCUAACUCCGUGCCAGCAGCCGCGGUAAUACGGAGGGUGCAAGCGUUACUCGGAAUCACUGGGCGUAAAGGACGCGUAGGCGGGUUGGAAAGUCAGGUGUGAAAUCCUACAGCUUAACUGUAGAACUGCACUUGAAACUUCUAAUCUAGAGUAUGGGAGGGGGAGAUGGAAUUAGGGGUGUAGGGGUAAAAUCCGUAGAUAUCACUAGGAAUACCUAAAGCGAAGGCGAUCUCCUGGAACAUUACUGACGCUAAGGCGUGAAAGCGUGGGGAGCAAACAGGAUUAGAUACCCCCGUAGUC
RNAcentral lists this ribosomal RNA (439 nucleotides) under uncultured bacterium. RNAcentral's name for it is "partial 16S ribosomal RNA". It matches the Rfam family "Bacterial small subunit ribosomal RNA", at positions 339 to 795 of the family's 1533-position model. The record is from RNAcentral.